AGCAGUGUGGUGUAGUGCUUGGAGCACUGGACUAUGACUCUGGAGAUCAGGGUUUGAAUCCCAGCUCGGCUA
RNAcentral lists this transfer RNA (72 nucleotides) under Phrynosoma platyrhinos (Desert horned lizard). Its description in RNAcentral is "tRNA-OTHER". The record is from RNAcentral. Lineage: Eukaryota; Metazoa; Chordata; Lepidosauria; Squamata; Phrynosomatidae.